RNAcentral lists this ribosomal RNA (789 nucleotides) under uncultured bacterium. RNAcentral's name for it is "bacterial SSU rRNA". It matches the Rfam family "Bacterial small subunit ribosomal RNA", at positions 8 to 796 of the family's 1533-position model. The record is from RNAcentral.
AGAGUUUGAUCAUGGCUCAGGAUGAACGCUAGCGGCAGGCCUAAUACAUGCAAGCCGAACGGCAAGUUGAGUAGCAAUACUUGACCUAGAGUGGCGUAAGGGUGCGUAACACGUAUGCAAUCUGCCCGCAACAGGAGGAUAGCUCCCCGAAAGGGGAAUUAAUACUCCAUGAGAUCACACGAGGGCAUCUGAGGGUGAUUAAACUACAAGGGGUUGCGGAUGAGCAUGCGGUUGAUUAGCUAGUUGGCGGGGUAACGGCCCACCAAGGCGAUGAUCAAUAGGGGAACUGAGAGGUUUAUCCCCCACACUGGCACUGAGAUACGGGCCAGACUCCUACGGGAGGCAGCAGUAGGGAAUAUUGGACAAUGGGCGAGAGCCUGAUCCAGCCAUGCCGCGUGCAGGAAGAAGGCCUUCUGGGUUGUAAACUGCUUUUGCCAGGGGAUAAAAAGUCCCUGCGGGGAAAAUUGGAGGUACCUGGUGAAUAAGCCACGGCUAACUACGUGCCAGCAGCCGCGGUAAUACGUAGGUGGCAAGCGUUGUCCGGAUUUAUUGGGUUUAAGGGUGCGUAGGCGGUUCUAUAAGUCAGUGGUGAAAUACGGCAGCUCAACUGUCGAGGUGCCAUUGAUACUGUAGAACUUGAGUACAGACGAGGUAGGCGGAAUUGACGGUAGCGGUGAAAUGCUUAGAUAUCGUCAAGAACACCGAUAGCGAAGGCAGCUUACUAGGCUGUAACUGACGCUGAGGCACGAAAGUGUGGGGAUCAAACAGGAUUAGAUACCCUAGUAGUCC